Molecule: ribosomal RNA, 382 nt
Filed under: uncultured eukaryote
Lineage: Eukaryota
Description: partial 18S ribosomal RNA
Rfam family: Eukaryotic small subunit ribosomal RNA
Source: RNAcentral
CAAUAGCGUAUAUUAAAGUUGUUGCAGUUAAAAAGCUCGUAGUCGGACUUCUGCGGGUGGCGGCCGGUCGUGCUCGAAACGGGCGUGAACUUGGCGUGCUGCCCGCAUCUUUGGGGAGAUUGUGCGUGGCAUUAAGUUGUCGUGCAUGGGAUUCUCAUCAUUUACUGUGAAAAAAUUAGAGUGUUUAAAGCAGGCCUUUGCCUUGAAUACAUUAGCAUGGAAUAAUAAGAUAGGACCGUUGUCUAUUUUGUUGGUUUACAGAUGUCGGUAAUGAUUAAUAGGGAUAGUUGGGGGUAUUCGUAUUCAGUUGUCAGAGGUGAAAUUCUUGGAUUUUCGGAAGACGCACGACUGCGAAAGCAUUUACCAAGGAUGUUUUCAUUAA